Equus asinus (donkey) is the source of this 741-nucleotide long non-coding RNA. The record is from Ensembl. Lineage: Eukaryota; Metazoa; Chordata; Mammalia; Perissodactyla; Equidae.
AUUGUCCCUGCGAGAGUCCUCCAGGACCGUUGGGCGCGGUUGGCACCUCGGCCCUCGAGACGGCGGGAACCGGGACUCGGGCUCUGAACCCGAGUGGUGACCGAGGAGGCGGGCCCGGCUCUCCCGGUUGCACGCGGCUGGGUGGACGCCCGCGCGGGGCUCAAGCACGCGGGUUCCCGACUCCGACCCGCGGGGGGUCGGUACUGAAGGAUUUAUUUCAUAGGUUUGGAUGAGAGACCUCAUGUGGGCUUCAGGUCCUCAUCUUCAUGAGGGAACUUCUCUGUGCCUCUGAUUCGUCGUGGGGAAAAUGGUGGUAUCCAGAGUGGCUGGCUGCCAGCUCACAUUGAUGACUCCGGGGCAGUGCCUGGCCUUCAUCUGGUCCUUGCUGCUCCAGCCUUUGCCCUGUUAAUUGAAGGAAUGCUGCCAUAACCACUUCCUGGAGAAUUGGGACUGGACCCCCAGCAGCGAGGAGCCUUGAAGGCUGGAGAGAAAGAGUUUCCAUCAUGGAUCUCUCCUGAGGGAAUAGUCCAGAUUUCCUGAGUCGUUUCCAGGUCGAGGUCCUGUAUGCCUCUUCUGUUCUCAGGACCAGUUCCUGUCAGAGUGGGAAGACCUGAUCUUGGAUAUUUGGUUUUGCUCCUUUGUGAAAAGCUGUAAAGACAAUUUUCCACCCCUAGCUGUAAAGAACUCUUGGUGGGAAAUUAUAAUUCCUUUAGGGAGAUUAAAAUCUCAUUUGGAUUACCC